RNAcentral lists this ribosomal RNA (225 nucleotides) under uncultured bacterium. RNAcentral's name for it is "partial 16S ribosomal RNA". It matches the Rfam family "Bacterial small subunit ribosomal RNA", at positions 521 to 747 of the family's 1533-position model. The record is from RNAcentral.
UAACAGAGACUGGCAAGCGUUAUUCGGAUUCACUGGGCGUAAAGGGUGCGCAGGCGCCAGUGUGUGAGGCGUGAAAGCCUGGAGCUUAACUCCAGAAUUGCACCUCAAACUACUUGGCUAGAGCAUUGGAGAGGGUAGCAGAAUUCAUGGUGUAGCAGUGAAAUGCGUAGAUAUCAUGGAGGAAUACCAGAGGCGAAGGCGGCUACCUGGACAAUUGCUGACGCU